Neltuma alba is the source of this 750-nucleotide long non-coding RNA. RefSeq lists it as uncharacterized. The record is from RefSeq and is a predicted model, not a curated record. The transcript is spliced from 3 exons. Lineage: Eukaryota; Viridiplantae; Streptophyta; Magnoliopsida; Fabales; Fabaceae.
AUUCAAACCUACCAAUCAACCCUUUCUCUGUACAAAAGCGCCAUAGACUUUGCUUCAUGGAGUGAGGACUCAUCACUCGAAAGCUCUCUCUUCUCCGUAUCUCCCUUUGAUUCUACCUUUCUUGUUCAUCAGCCUUUGAGCUUCGUUCAUGGCUCAGUACCAAAACCACCAACAUUUUCGUGACGAUGAGUCCAUGGAUCCCCACAAGUUCAUCGAGAGCUUCAUCCUAGCAUCAUGCGGGGAGAAGAAAAGGCACGAGUUUGAUCUCAAAUAUUCAGUGUCUUACACACAAAGACUGAUUAAGAAACACCUGGGAAUUUCUGUAGUCCAAGAUUUAGCGCUUUCUUCGUCGGCUACUUCAUCUUCGUUUCAGUUACUUCAACAAACCAUCGAUCAAUUGGCUUCUCGUCAUGCUGGUUCUGAGCAGAACAUGCUUCAGGUUUGGGAUGACCUCAUCAAAAUGUCUGAUCCUCAUCAUGUUCUCCUGGAGCCUGCAAAAACAUCACUUGCUAGCCCAAAUUUGUAUAUAAUAUGCUUGAUUAUUCAAGUAUAAUAUAUAUGGUCAAACGAGUGACAUUGGAGCCACGGAGACUCACCUCGGAGGGGCAUGAGGAUGGAUGCUGCUACAUCUGUUUCUCAUCUCUUUUCUAGGAUUGUGUGAAGUAAAUUUGUUUCAAAGUGACGAGAGAAAAUGAGAGGCAUGCCGCAGUUUGGGUUCCUCUCAAUUUUCAUAUCUCUCACUGUACUUUU